UAGGAAAGCGCCUAGAGGUUUCUCCAUAAC
Molecule: non-coding RNA, 30 nt
Filed under: Mus musculus (house mouse)
Lineage: Eukaryota; Metazoa; Chordata; Mammalia; Rodentia; Muridae
Source: RNAcentral